UUUCUGAGAAGGACAUCAAGAAAUCUACCCCGUUCAGGUUGCACUUUAGCUCUUCAGACAGGUCCAGAAGACUGGCCGUUCAGAAUACAGGAUGAAUUUGGAGUUGGUUUUGUGCUCCGACUGAAGAACAAUGGCCAGAUUUUAGAGGGAUGAAUGCUAGCCAGCAUCCAAAGGGACCAAACACAGCACGAGACUCAAGGAUUCCAAGCAGCUGACUCAGGCUUCAUUCAAAUUCAGCUCAUUUCCUUCUGGAGCCUCCGGACAUGCUCUAGCCAACCUCAGCAAAUAACUUGGAGGGACAUAUGGAGAAACAGAUCUUCCCCAAGAAGUUUGGGCUUGUUGCUUUCCAGUGCUGGUGACCUAUUCCCUUUGACGAUCCCUAGGUGGAGAUGGGGCAUGAGGAUCCUCCAGGGGAAUAGCUCGACACCACUGGACAAUAGCCCUAUCCCUGGAGAUUUUAGUGAGACACUUUGCUGAACCCAGCAAGGAAGAUAGAGUCAAAUAUAGCUACCCUACAUCACAAUAGG
Long non-coding RNA from Mesocricetus auratus (golden hamster), 527 nucleotides. RefSeq lists it as uncharacterized. NCBI's taxonomy places the organism in Eukaryota, Metazoa, Chordata, Mammalia, Rodentia, Cricetidae. The record is from RefSeq and is a predicted model, not a curated record. The transcript is spliced from 4 exons.